Non-coding RNA from Potamilus streckersoni, 79 nucleotides. NCBI's taxonomy places the organism in Eukaryota, Metazoa, Mollusca, Bivalvia, Unionida, Unionidae. The record is from the annotation of a GenBank genome assembly.
GACCACUCCUUGGUGGCCUGGUGGUUAGAGCAUCUUCCUCGGAAGUGGGAGGUCACAGGUUCGAACCUGGACCAAGUCA